Molecule: ribosomal RNA, 428 nt
Filed under: uncultured eukaryote
Lineage: Eukaryota
Description: bacterial SSU rRNA
Rfam family: Eukaryotic small subunit ribosomal RNA
Source: RNAcentral
CCUGCCAGUAGUCAUAUGCUUGUCUCAAAGAUUAAGCCAUGCAAGUCUGAGUAUAAUUGGUUUACGGUGAAACUGCGAAUGGCUCAUUAAAUCAGUUAUAGUUUAUUUGAUGCUAUAGGCCGCAAGGCCACUACAUGGAUAUCUGUAGUAACAUAGAGCUAAUACAUGCAAUAUAGUCUGACUUUUUGGAAGGACUAGCACUUAUUAGAUAUUAAACCAGUCCCAGCAAUGGGUUUUAUGGUGAUUCAUAGUAACUGAACAAAUCACACGGUCUUGUACUGGUGAUGUUUCAUUCAAAUUUCUGCCCUAUCAACUAGAUGGUAGUAUAUAGGACUACCAUGGUUGUAACGGGUAACGGAGGAUUAGGGUUUGAUUCCGGAGAAGGAGCAUGAGAAACGGCUACUAUUUCUAAGGAAAGCAGCAGGCGC